ACUCCUACGGGAGGCAGCAGUGAGGAAUAUUGGACAAUGGGCGAGGGCCUGAUCCAGCCAUGCCGCGUGCAGGAAGAAUGCCCUAUGGGUAGUAAACUGCUUUUAUACGGGAAGAAAAAGGGGCACGUGUGCCCUGUUGACGGUACCGUAAGAAUAAGGACCGGCUAACUCCGUGCCAGCAGCCGCGGUAAUACGGAGGGUCCGAGCGUUAAUCGGAAUUACUGGGCGUAAAGCGCAUGCAGGUGGUUUGUUAAGUCAGAUGUGAAAGCCCGGGGCUCAACCUCGGAAUUGCAUUUGAAACUGGCAGGCUAGAGUCUUGUAGAGGGGGGUAGAAUUUCAGGUGUAGCGGUGAAAUGCGUAGAGAUCUGAAGGAAUACCAGUGGCGAAGGCGGCCCCCUGGACAAAGACUGACGCUCAGAUGCGAAAGCGUGGGGAAGCAAACGAGG
This 446-nucleotide ribosomal RNA is filed under the name uncultured bacterium. Its description in RNAcentral is "bacterial SSU rRNA". It matches the Rfam family "Bacterial small subunit ribosomal RNA", at positions 335 to 777 of the family's 1533-position model. The record is from RNAcentral.